RNAcentral lists this ribosomal RNA (1030 nucleotides) under human gut metagenome. RNAcentral's name for it is "bacterial SSU rRNA". It matches the Rfam family "Bacterial small subunit ribosomal RNA", at positions 44 to 1073 of the family's 1533-position model. The record is from RNAcentral.
AGGCUUAACACAUGCAAGUCGAGGGGCAGCAUGAGGUAGCAAUACCUUGAUGGCGACCGGCGCACGGGUGAGUAACGCGUAUGCAACCUGCCCGAUACCGGGGUAUAGCCCAUGGAAACGUGGAUUAACACCCCAUAGUACUUUUAUCCUGCAUGGGAUGUGAGUUAAAUGUUCAAGGUAUCGGAUGGGCAUGCGUCCUAUUAGUUAGUUGGCGGGGUAACAGCCCACCAAGACGAUGAUAGGUAGGGGUUCUGAGAGGAAGGUCCCCCACAUUGGAACUGAGACACGGUCCAAACUCCUACGGGAGGCAGCAGUGAGGAAUAUUGGUCAAUGGACGUAAGUCUGAACCAGCCAAGUCGCGUGAGGGAAGACUGCCCUAUGGGUUGUAAACCUCUUUUAUAAGGGAAGAAUAAGUUCUACGUGUAGAAUGAUGCCUGUACCUUAUGAAUAAGCAUCGGCUAACUCCGUGCCAGCAGCCGCGGUAAUACGGAGGAUGCGAGCGUUAUCCGGAUUUAUUGGGUUUAAAGGGUGCGUAGGCGGUUUAUUAAGUUAGUGGUUAAAUAUUUGAGCUAAACUCAAUUGUGCCAUUAAUACUGGUAAACUGGAGUACAGACGAGGUAGGCGGAAUAAGUUAAGUAGCGGUGAAAUGCAUAGAUAUAACUUAGAACUCCGAUAGCGAAGGCAGCUUACCAGACUGUAACUGACGCUGAUGCACGAGAGCGUGGGUAGCGAACAGGAUUAGAUACCCUGGUAGUCCACGCCGUAAACGAUGCUCACUGGUUCUGUGCGAUAUAUUGUACGGGAUUAAGCGAAAGUAUUAAGUGAGCCACCUGGGGAGUACGUCGGCAACGAUGAAACUCAAAGGAAUUGACGGGGGCCCGCACAAGCGGAGGAACAUGUGGUUUAAUUCGAUGAUACGCGAGGAACCUUACCUGGGUUUAAAUGGGAAAUGCCGUAUUUGGAAACAGAUAUUCUCUUCGGAGCGUUUUUCAAGGUGCUGCAUGGUUGUCGUCAGCUCGUGCCGUGAGGU